Long non-coding RNA from Malania oleifera, 934 nucleotides. RefSeq lists it as uncharacterized. The record is from RefSeq and is a predicted model, not a curated record. Lineage: Eukaryota; Viridiplantae; Streptophyta; Magnoliopsida; Santalales; Ximeniaceae. The transcript is spliced from 2 exons.
AAAAUCUAAAUGAUAUUCUUCCUCCCUCUCCCUCCUGCCGCAAGGUCCCUCCAAAGCUACCUCCACGCCGUCGCACAGCUGGCAGCCCCAAGGCAACGGUUGAAUCUGCCGCGCGCCUGUGCCCUUCUCGGCAGUCGACAGCCUCCACUCUGCCACACACGGUCGCAGCCUUAGCCGCAAGCUGCUGCCUCCACUCCGCCAGCCGCACCUCCCUUCAAGAAGGGCAAGAGGAUAAAGAAGUUCUAUGAUCCUAUAUCUCUUGACUACAUUGAUAUCAAGGAAGAUUGGAUAAGAGAAGAAAAGUCUAAUUCUAUAAACGAAGAAGUUCUUCAAGAUUGGAAAAAUAUGAAUGAGGAACCAACAAGUAUUGAACUUGAGGGGGAGAGGGGGGGGGGAGAGGAUAACUUUGGUGAGGAAAAGAAAGUAAAUUUCUUGCAUAAUUUAAUUGCUAGACAAUCAUGUAGUUGUGUUCUAAUCAAACUUUUACAUUAGCUAUUUAAGAUUUGUUUGAGCAAGGGACUCCCUCUUUCGGACCUAUUGAAAAUGUUGGAAUUGAGAAUUUGGAUGAUGAUGAAGAAAAUCAAGAUCAAGGUGGUGGCGGGGAGAAGGAAGGUCCUCAAGAGAGAACAAGUCAUGUGGAUGAACCAUUACUUCGAUUCACACCUACUUUUAGUUUAGGAAUUUGAUUCUGCAAAGUAUUAAAUAUAAAUUUGCAAUUCUAUGUGGCUUAAAGCCUUUAACUUUUGGGUUGUAAACUUGUAAUGUUCCAAUGUUUGUAUGAAAAUUUUAUGUUACAAUAUGUAAUGCUUAUUUGAAAUUUGAAGUAUUUAACUUUCAAUUUGAUGAUGAAAAAUAUAGGCUAUGUUGUGCAUUAUUGUAUUGUAAUAUAUAUUUGAUUUUGAAUUUUAUUUUGAUUGAUAUUUUGAAGAUAAAA